CCUGCCCCUAGAGGCAUUGCAGGUGUGGCUGCUGUGUCACAUGUAUGUCAGUAGGUGGCGAGAGAGGCUAUGUCUAUGCUCAGUGUUCUGACCUACGAACAUGCAAAUGAUUAGAAGCCUAAUAUU
Acomys russatus (golden spiny mouse) is the source of this 126-nucleotide small nucleolar RNA. RefSeq annotates it as small nucleolar RNA SNORA17. The transcript has a single exon. The record is from RefSeq and is a predicted model, not a curated record. Lineage: Eukaryota; Metazoa; Chordata; Mammalia; Rodentia; Muridae.